UGGGGAAUAUUGCACAAUGGGGGAAACCCGUGAUGCAGCGACGCCGCGUGAAGGAAGAAGUAUUUCGGUAUGUAAACUUCUAUCAGCAGGGAAGAAAAUGACGGUACCUGACUAAGAAGCCCCGGCUAACUACGUGCC
RNAcentral lists this ribosomal RNA (138 nucleotides) under uncultured bacterium. RNAcentral's name for it is "partial 16S ribosomal RNA". It matches the Rfam family "Bacterial small subunit ribosomal RNA", at positions 355 to 509 of the family's 1533-position model. The record is from RNAcentral.